This is a long non-coding RNA of Sinocyclocheilus anshuiensis, 218 nucleotides long. RefSeq lists it as uncharacterized. The record is from RefSeq and is a predicted model, not a curated record. The transcript has 3 exons. Lineage: Eukaryota; Metazoa; Chordata; Actinopteri; Cypriniformes; Cyprinidae.
CACCCAUUCACUGCUGAGGGUGAACUGAUUUCUUGCAUGGACUGACCAGGUUGUGUAUGACAUUGGUGAGCGUCCACACCACAGGCACACUGAGGAAAGGGAUGCUGAGUAGGACCACAUGCAGGGCAGUGGUGAGCAGCAGGAGCUUCUGUGGACGCCAGAAAUGAGAAGACGCGUGCAGAUAUGAUAGAAAAGGAGUAGAGCCUUUCCAUGCUGUC